GACGAACGCUGGCGGCGGGCUUAACACAUGCAAGUCGAACGAGGUCCAUCUUGUAGCAAUACAAGUGAAGACCUAGUGGCGAACGGGUGAGGAACACGUGAGAAAUUUGCCCCGAACUUUGGGAUAACAGUUGGAAACGACUGCUAAUACCGAAUGCCGUUAUGAAGUGGCAUCACUUUGUAACGAAAGAAUUUCGGUUCGGGAGAAUCUCGCGGCCUAUCAGCUUGUUGGUGAGGUAACGGCUCACCAAGGCUACGACGGGUAGCUGGUCUGAGAGGAUGAUCAGCCACACCGGGACUGAGACACGGCCCAGACUCCUACGGGAGGCAGCAGUGGGGAAUCUUGUGCAAUGGACGAAAGUCUGACACAGCCACGCCGCGUGCGGGAAGAAGGCCUUCGGGUUGUAAACCGCUUUCAGCAGGAACGAAAAUGACGGUACCUGCAGAAGAAGGAGCGGCCAACUACGUGCCAGCAGCCGCGGUGACACGUAGGCUCCAAGCGUUGUCCGGAUUUAUUGGGCGUAAAGAGCUCGUAGGCGGUUCAGCAAGUCGGGUGUGAAAACUCUGGGCUCAACCCAGAGCCUGCACCCGAAACUGCUGUGACUAGAGUUCGGUAGGGGAGUGGGGAAUUCCUAGUGUAGCGGUGAAAUGCGCAGAUAUUGGGAGGAACACCGAUGGCGAAGGCACCACUCUGGGCCGAAACUGACGCUGAGGAGCGAAAGCGUGGGUAGCAAACAGGAUUAGAUACCCUGGUAGUCCACGCCGUAAACGAUGGGCACUAGGUGUGGGUCUCUAACCAACGAGAUCCGCGCCGUCGCUAACGCAUUAAGUGCCCCGCCUGGGGAGUACGGUCGCAAGACUA
Molecule: ribosomal RNA, 861 nt
Filed under: uncultured bacterium
Lineage: Bacteria
Description: bacterial SSU rRNA
Rfam family: Bacterial small subunit ribosomal RNA
Source: RNAcentral